AGUGAACGCUGGCGGUAGGCCUAACACAUGCAAGUCGAACGGCAGCACAGUAAGAGCUUGCUCUUACGGGUGGCGAGUGGCGGACGGGUGAGGAAUACAUCGGAAUCUACUUUUUCGUGGGGGAUAAUGUAGGGAAACUUACGCUAAUACCGCAUACGACCUACGGGUGAAAGCAGGGGAUCUUCGGACCUUGCGCGAUUGAAUGAGCCGAUGUCGGAUUAGCUAGUUGGCGGGGUAAAGGCCCACCAAGGCGACGAUCCGUAGCUGGUCUGAGAGGAUGAUCAGCCACACUGGAACUGAGACACGGUCCAGACUCCUACGGGAGGCGGCAGUGGGGAAUAUAGGACAAUGGGCGCAAGCCUGAUCCAGCCAUACCGCGUGGGUGAAGAAGGCCUUCGGGUUGUAAAGCCCUUUUGUUGGGAAAGAAAAGCAGCAGGUUAAUACCCCGCUGUUCUGACGGUACCCAAAGAAUAAGCACCGGCUAACUUCGU
Molecule: ribosomal RNA, 491 nt
Filed under: uncultured bacterium
Lineage: Bacteria
Description: partial 16S ribosomal RNA
Rfam family: Bacterial small subunit ribosomal RNA
Source: RNAcentral